Molecule: ribosomal RNA, 377 nt
Filed under: uncultured eukaryote
Lineage: Eukaryota
Description: partial 18S ribosomal RNA
Rfam family: Eukaryotic small subunit ribosomal RNA
Source: RNAcentral
CAAUAGCGUAUAUUAAAGUUGUUGCAGUUAGAAAGCUCGUAGUUGGAUUUCGGGGCAGCCUGGCUGGUCCGCCGCAAGGCGAGUACUGGUCAGCCGCCCUUCCUCUCGAAAGCCCCGACUGCUCUUUAUUGCAGUGGUCGGGUAGUUCGGGACGUUUACUUUGAAAAAAUUAGAGUGUUCAAGGCAGGCCUACGCCUGAAUACAUUAGCAUGGAAUAAUGGAAGAGGACCUCGGUCCUAUUUUGUUGGUUUCCAGGACCGAAGUAAUGAUUAAGAGGGACAGUUGGGGGCAUUCGUAUUUAAUUGUCAGAGGUGAAAUUCUCGGAUUUAUGAAAGACGAACAACUGCGAAAGCAUUUGCCAAGGAUGUUUUCAUUAA